Molecule: ribosomal RNA, 253 nt
Filed under: uncultured bacterium
Lineage: Bacteria
Description: partial 16S ribosomal RNA
Rfam family: Bacterial small subunit ribosomal RNA
Source: RNAcentral
UACGAAGGGUGCAAGCGUUAAUCGGAAUUACUGGGCGUAAAGCGUGCGCAGGCGGUUCUAUAAGACAGAUGUGAAAUCCCCGGGCUCAACCUGGGAACUGCAUUUGUGACUGUAGAGCUGGAGUACGGUAGAGGGGGAUGGAAUUCCGCGUGUAGCAGUGAAAUGCGUAGAUAUGCGGAGGAACACCGAUGGCGAAGGCAAUCCCCUGGACCUGUACUGACGCUCAUGCACGAAAGCGUGGGGAGCAAACAGG